ACACGACUCUCAGCAACAAAUAUCUCGGGUCUCGCAUCGAUGAAGAACGUAGCGAAAUGCGAUACCUGGUGUGAAUUGCAGAAUCCCGGAACCAUCGAGUCUUUGAACGCAAGUUGCGCCCGAGGCCACCCGGCCGAGGGCACGCCUGCCUGGGCAUCACGC
This 162-nucleotide ribosomal RNA is filed under the name Pseudoxytenanthera stocksii. RNAcentral describes it as "5.8S ribosomal RNA". It matches the Rfam family "5.8S ribosomal RNA". Rfam says of the family: 5.8S ribosomal RNA (5.8S rRNA) is a component of the large subunit of the eukaryotic ribosome. Lineage: Eukaryota; Viridiplantae; Streptophyta; Magnoliopsida; Poales; Poaceae. The record is from RNAcentral.